GAUGAACGCUGGCGGCGUGCCUAAUACAUGCAAGUCGAGUGAACAGACGAGGAGCUUGCUCCUCUGACGUUAGCGGCGGACGGGUGAGUAACACGUGGAUAACCUACCUAUAAGACUGGGAUAACUUCGGGAAACCGGAGCUAAUACCGGAUAAUAUAUUGAACCGCAUGGUUCAAUAGUUAAAGACGGUUUUGCUGUCACUUAUAGAUGGAUCCGCGCCGCAUUAGCUAGUUGGUAAGGUAACGGCUUACCAAGGCAACGAUGCGUAGCCGACCUGAGAGGGUGAUCGGCCACACUGGAACUGAGACACGGUCCAGACUCCUACGGGAGGCAGCAGUAGGGAAUCUUCCGCAAUGGGCGAAAGCCUGACGGAGCAACGCCGCGUGAGUGAUGAAGGUCUUCGGAUCGUAAAACUCUGUUAUUAGGGAAGAACAAAUGUGUAAGUAACUAUGCACGUCUUGACGGUACCUAAUCAGAAAGCCACGGCUAACUACGUG
Molecule: ribosomal RNA, 497 nt
Filed under: uncultured bacterium
Lineage: Bacteria
Description: partial 16S ribosomal RNA
Rfam family: Bacterial small subunit ribosomal RNA
Source: RNAcentral